This 497-nucleotide ribosomal RNA is filed under the name uncultured bacterium. RNAcentral describes it as "bacterial SSU rRNA". It matches the Rfam family "Bacterial small subunit ribosomal RNA", at positions 28 to 536 of the family's 1533-position model. The record is from RNAcentral.
GAUGAACGCUAGCGGCAGGCCUAAUACAUGCAAGUCAAGGGGAUAGCAAUAUCACCGGCGGACGGGUGCGUAACGCGUACACAACGUGCCCAAGGGCGGAGGAAAGCGGCGGGAAACUGCCGGUAAUACUCCAUGGCGUUGCAGGGUGGCAUCACCUUGCAACUAAAGUACAAGCGCCCUUGGAUCGGUGUGCGUUCGAUUAGCUAGUUGGCGGGGUAACGGCCCACCAAGGCUCCGAUCGAUAGGGGGUGUGAGAGCAUGACCCCCCACACGGGUACUGAGACACGGACCCGACUCCUACGGGAGGCAGCAGUAAGGAAUAUUGGACAAUGGGCGGAAGCCUGAUCCAGCCAUGCCGCGUGAAGGAUGAAGGCGCUCAGCGUUGUAAACUUCUUUUGGAUGGGAACAAUAACUCUGACUUGUCAGAGCUUGAGGGUACCAUCAGAAUAAGCACCGGCCUAACUCCGUGCCAGCAGCCGACGGUAAACUAGUCUACG